AAACAGAGGCCAUGCAACCUGAGAAACACAGCACAGAGUGGUUUUAUUUGGAGUUAAGAAGCUUGAGAUAUUUCUCUUUUUGUGAUGCUGGGGAUGAAGCUCAUGGUAUUGCUCAUUUUAUGUAAGUACUCUGCAACUGAACCCUAUCCUUAGUCCAUGUUUCUUAUCAUUUGUUUGCUUUUUGGCAUAGAGUCUCAGUAUAUAGCUAGGACUUCAACCUGUUAACCCCUUUGCCUCUGCCUUCUGAAAGCUAAUAUUACAGAUGUGAGGCACCAUAGCUGACAGAAGUAUUUGUGGCAUAUAAUUGUAUAUUAUGAUGCAUUUAAAAGUGUAUGGUGCUAGAGACUGAAGCCAGGACCAUAAAGUAAGAGCUAGACCACUGAGUAACAUCCUUAGCUCAGGCUAUUUUUCAAAUACUCAUUUACCAUCAAUAUUUUAGGGUUGGAUUUUUAGAAUCUGUAGUAACAGAGGAAUAUGUUCAUUUAUCCCUUUAUUUUUCCAUAUAAAUAGACUUAAGAAUGUUGUCUGUUGCGUGGAGAGUUCUUGUAUAUUAAGCACUCCUCAUUUUAUUAAAUAUAGAUUAUAAAUGCAAUACUUUUAUGAGUUUGGAAUGAUGCUCUUCUUAGAGCAGGUAGAUACUAAACAUAUGAAUAGUAGAUUUCUAUCCAUUGACCUUCAGGCUACAGUACAGCUCUGGGCCUGAUACAGAGCACUGUACAGACAACCUACUGACCUCAUAAUAGGCCCAGGUGCCAGACUCUUCUGUGUAGGGCCCUAGUGUACCAGCACUAGCAGUAGGAGCACUUAUUCCAUUGUUGGAGGGGUCACUCAGGGUGAAGGUUUGUCCAUAUGCUGGGAAUCCAACAAUGAGCUUCUCAGGUGCUGCCCCAUUUUCAUUCCAGUAGGUCAUGAUGUAAUCCUGCAGUGGCAGAAGGACAGUGAAGAGAUGUUUGUCCCUAGAAGGGCUUCCACGAGACCCAGGGAACUGCCAGUCC
Mus musculus (house mouse) is the source of this 995-nucleotide long non-coding RNA. RefSeq annotates it as predicted gene 42722. The record is from RefSeq and is a predicted model, not a curated record. NCBI's taxonomy places the organism in Eukaryota, Metazoa, Chordata, Mammalia, Rodentia, Muridae. The transcript is spliced from 3 exons.